Molecule: ribosomal RNA, 427 nt
Filed under: uncultured bacterium
Lineage: Bacteria
Description: partial 16S ribosomal RNA
Rfam family: Bacterial small subunit ribosomal RNA
Source: RNAcentral
UAGGGAAUCUUCCGCAAUGGGCGAAAGCCUGACGGAGCAACGCCGCGUGAGUGAUGAAGGUCUUCGGAUUGUAAAACUCUGUUAUUAGGGAAGAACAAACGUGUAAGUAACUGUGCACGUCUUGACGGUACCUAAUCAGAAAGCCACGGCUAACUACGUGCCAGCAGCCGCGGUAAUACGUAGGUGGCAAGCGUUAUCCGGAAUUAUUGGGCGUAAAGCGCGCGUAGGCGGUUUUUUAAGUCUGAUGUGAAAGCCCACGGCUCAACCGUUGAGGGUCAUUGGAAACUGGAAAACUUGAGUGCAGAAGAGGAAAGUGGAAUUCCAUGUGUAGCGGUGAAAUGCGCAGAGAUAUGGAGGAACACCAGUGGCGAAGGCGACUUUCUGGUCUGUAACUGACGCUGAUGUGCGAAAGCGUGGGGAUCAAACA